RNAcentral lists this ribosomal RNA (671 nucleotides) under Emmanuelia ravenelii. RNAcentral describes it as "SSU rRNA". Lineage: Eukaryota; Fungi; Ascomycota; Lecanoromycetes; Peltigerales; Lobariaceae. The record is from RNAcentral.
ACUUUGUAGUUUAAAAUUCUAGAUAGAAUUAUGAUGAUGACAUUAUCUAUCUAUAAGUCUUGACCAAAUUACGUGCCAGCAGUCGCGGWAAUACGUAGAAGACAAGUGUUAUUCAUCUUUAUUGGGUUUAAAGAGUACCAAGACGGUUAAUAAAGCCCAAAAUACAUAAAAACAGGGGACACAUUAACUAGAGUUAUAUGAAAAGAAGCAUUAAGGUACUGUUGAGUGUAGAGAUAAAAUUCCGUCAUACCAGAUAAUAGGCACAGAUUUAUGCGAAGGCAUCUUCUUAUGUAAUAACUGACGUUGUAGGACGAAGGCUUUUUAAGUGAACAGGAUUAGAGACCCUAGUAAUCUAAGCAGAAAAUGAUGAAUGUCAUAGGUUUAAUUAAUGUAUAAUUGGGUCUAUAAAUGAAAGUGUAAGCAUUCCACCUCAAGAGUAAUUUGGCAACAUUGAAACUGAAAUCAUUAGACCGUUUCUGAAACCAGUAGUGAAGUAUGUUGUUUAAUUAGAUGAUACACAAAAAACCUUACCACAAUUUGAAUAUAUAUCUUUAAAGAUAUUUACAAGCGUUGCACGGCUGUCUUCAGUUAAUGUCGUGAGAUUUUGGGUUAGUUCCAUAAAAUUAACGUAAACCCUCGUUUUAUUUAUAAAUAAAAUUUAGAUCUGUUUC